UCAAGACACUUUGUCAAAAUGGCGAGUGAAGUCACUUAUGCAGAUAUACAGAUACCAUCAGAAGAAAGAGUGUGUUUUACUUCACGAACUUUGGAUCCAGGAGAGAGGAGCACCUAUGCUAAGGUGAAAGUGCACUGGAAAUCUGACAGCACAUCAGAGGCUAUCCCUUCAGGUCCCACCUCUCAAUGCUCAGGCUGGUUGUACAUUAUUGCAGUCCUUGGGAUUAUUACACUGAUUCUGCUAGUUACUGUGAUCCUCUUAGCUCUGCGCUGUGUAAACACGUGAUGGUAAGUCCUGCAGACCAAUUGACACAGAGUAAGUCACUUUUAUCCAAUAAUUUGUUUUCAUGAAAAUAUGCUCAGACAUCAGACCAGGAUGUGAAGGACCCCCUUCAGCUACAUCCCUGUCACCAUUCACUUAUCCAGCCAAUUCACAGCUGCACUCAGAUAAUAUCUAGCUUCCCCUGCUGGUUUUGAGUAUAAUGGACCAUUUUAUUAGGGUU
Molecule: long non-coding RNA, 502 nt
Organism: Trachemys scripta elegans
Lineage: Eukaryota; Metazoa; Chordata; Testudines; Emydidae
Exons: 3
Source: RefSeq, a predicted model, not a curated record